Long non-coding RNA from Bombus huntii, 296 nucleotides. RefSeq lists it as uncharacterized. The transcript is spliced from 3 exons. The record is from RefSeq and is a predicted model, not a curated record. NCBI's taxonomy places the organism in Eukaryota, Metazoa, Arthropoda, Insecta, Hymenoptera, Apidae.
UACGUCCAUCAACGACCCUUUUCAAAGGAUACAGUUGAAGACUAGAAAAGAAAGAAAGAAGAAAACGAUUCGUACCUCGCCAUGGAAAGUAAAAUUUCCCACUUGUAUGAACGGUAUUAGCUUCAACUCGUACGAAUCUGGCACCACAGAUCUUGAAGUCACCGCAUGGUUUAACGAGCUUUUCCUCAAGACAUGGCGCAAGAUGAUAGACAAGAAGCCCGGUCACGACCAAAGAUAUAAAGACAGCAGCACCAAAAAGGAAAGCGCCGCAAGGAGAGACUGUGCAACCUCUUUUA